RNAcentral lists this long non-coding RNA (1109 nucleotides) under Macaca fascicularis (crab-eating macaque). Its description in RNAcentral is "lncRNA (ENSMFAG00000063997.1)". Lineage: Eukaryota; Metazoa; Chordata; Mammalia; Primates; Cercopithecidae. The record is from RNAcentral.
UUUUUUUCUUUUUUCUUUUUUUUUGAGAUGGAGUCUUGCUCUGUCACCCAGGCUGGAGUGCAGUGGUGCGAUCUCGGCUCAUUGCAAACUCCACCUCCCGGAUUCACGCUAUUCUCCUGCCUCAGCCUCCUGAGUAGCUGGGACUACAGGCAUCCACCACAACGUCCGGCUAAUAUUUUGUAUUUUUAGUACAGAUGGGGUUUCCCCGUGCUGGCCAGGAUUGUCUCGAUCUCCUGACCUCAUGAUCCGCCCACCUUGGCCUCUCAAAGUGCUGAGAUUACAAGCGUGAGCCACCACACCUGGCAUUUCCUGAUUUUUUAAUGAUUGUCAUUCUAACUGGUGUGAGAUGGUAUCUCAUUGUGGUUUUGAUUUGCAUUUCUCUGAUGGCGAGUGAUGAUGAACUUUUCAUGUGUCUGUUGGUUGUACGAAUGUCUUCUGUUGAGAAGUGUCUGUUCAUAUACUUUGCCCACUUUUUGAUGGGGUUGUUUUUUUCUUGUAAAUUUGCUUGAGUUCUUUGUAGAUUCUGGAUAUUAGCCCUUUGUCAGGUGAGUAGAUUGCAAAAAUUUUCUCCCAUUCUGUAGGUUGCCUGUUCACUCUGAUGGUAGUUUCUUUUGCUGUGCAGAAGCUCUUUAGUUUAAUUAGAUCCCAUUUGUCAUUUUUGGCUUUUGUUGCCAUUGCUUUUGGUGUUUUAGACAUGAAGUCCUUGCCCAUGCCUAUGUCCUGAAUGGUAUUACCUAGGGUUUUUAUGGCUUUAGGUCUAACAUUUAAGUCUCUAAUCCAUCUUGAAUUAAUUUUCGUAUAAGGAGUAAGGAAAGAAUCCAGUUUCAGCUCUCUAUUUAUGGCUAGUCAAUUUUCCCAGCACCAUUUAUUAAAUAGGGAAUCCUUUCCCCAUUUCUUGUUUUUCUCAGGUUUGUCAAAGAUCAGAUGGCUGUAGAUGUGUGAUAUUAUUUCUGAGGGCUCUGUUCUGUUCCAUUGGUCUAUAUCUCUGUUUUGGUACCAGUACCAUGCUGUUUUGGUUACUGUAGCCUUGUAGUAUAGUUUGAAAUCAGGUAGAGUCUUAAGUGUGACUCUUCACAAGUCCAGAGAGUAAUUUGAAGUGAUUGUAAGAG